This 374-nucleotide ribosomal RNA is filed under the name uncultured eukaryote. RNAcentral describes it as "partial 18S ribosomal RNA". It matches the Rfam family "Eukaryotic small subunit ribosomal RNA", at positions 592 to 976 of the family's 1831-position model. The record is from RNAcentral.
CAAUAGCGUAUAUUUAAGUUGUUGCAGUUAAAAAGCUCGUAGUUGGAUUUCUGCUGAUCGCUGUCGGUCUGCCGUCAGGUGUGUACCGGCAGUGUUUGGCAUCUAUUCGAGAUUGGGUGUCCACUUGAUUGUGUGCACUCGAUGUCGGAGCUAAUACUUUGAGAAAAUUAGAGUGUUCCACGCAGGCGCGUGCCUUGAAUACUGCAGCAUGGGAUAUUGGAAGGCCGAUUGAGCUUUCUUGUUGGUUCUCGGUUUGAUCGGAAUGAUUAAUAGGGAUAGUUGGGGGCAUUCGUAUUCAACUGUCAGAGGUGAAAUUCUUGGAUUUGUUGAAGACGGACUACUGCGAAAGCAUCUGCCAUGGAUGUUCUCAUUGA